This 1603-nucleotide ribosomal RNA is filed under the name Salmonella enterica. Its description in RNAcentral is "partial 23S ribosomal RNA". It matches the Rfam family "Bacterial large subunit ribosomal RNA", at positions 1217 to 2802 of the family's 2925-position model. Lineage: Bacteria; Pseudomonadati; Pseudomonadota; Gammaproteobacteria; Enterobacterales; Enterobacteriaceae. The record is from RNAcentral.
UGUGUUGUUGGGUAGGGGAGCGUUCUGUAAGCCUGCGAAGGUGGCCUGUGAGGGUUGCUGGAGGUAUCAGAAGUGCGAAUGCUGACAUAAGUAACGAUAAAGCGGGUGAAAAGCCCGCUCGCCGGAAGACCAAGGGUUCCUGUCCAACGUUAAUCGGGGCAGGGUGAGUCGACCCCUAAGGCGAGGCCGAAAGGCGUAGUCGAUGGGAAACGGGUUAAUAUUCCCGUACUUGGUGUUACUGCGAAGGGGGGACGGAGAAGGCUAUGUUGGCCGGGCGACGGUUGUCCCGGUUUAAGCGUGUAGGUGUGUGUUCCAGGUAAAUCCGGUUCACUUUAACACUGAGGCGUGACGACGAGGCACUACGGUGCUGAAGCAACAAAUGCCCUGCUUCCAGGAAAAGCCUCUAAGCAUCAGGUAACAUCAAAUCGUACCCCAAACCGACACAGGUGGUCAGGUAGAGAAUACCAAGGCGCUUGAGAGAACUCGGGUGAAGGAACUAGGCAAAAUGGUGCCGUAACUUCGGGAGAAGGCACGCUGACACGUAGGUGAAGUGAUUUACUCACGGAGCUGAAGUCAGUCGAAGAUACCAGCUGGCUGCAACUGUUUAUUAAAAACACAGCACUGUGCAAACACGAAAGUGGACGUAUACGGUGUGACGCCUGCCCGGUGCCGGAAGGUUAAUUGAUGGGGUCAGCGCAAGCGAAGCUCCUGAUCGAAGCCCCGGUAAACGGCGGCCGUAACUAUAACGGUCCUAAGGUAGCGAAAUUCCUUGUCGGGUAAGUUCCGACCUGCACGAAUGGCGUAAUGAUGGCCAGGCUGUCUCCACCCGAGACUCAGUGAAAUUGAACUCGCUGUGAAGAUGCAGUGUACCCGCGGCAAGACGGAAAGACCCCGUGAACCUUUACUAUAGCUUGACACUGAACAUUGAGCCUUGAUGUGUAGGAUAGGUGGGAGGCUUUGAAGCGUGGACGCCAGUCUGCGUGGAGCCGACCUUGAAAUACCACCCUUUAAUGUUUGAUGUUCUAACGUGGACCCGUGAUCCGGGUUGCGGACAGUGUCUGGUGGGUAGUUUGACUGGGGCGGUCUCCUCCUAAAGAGUAACGGAGGAGCACGAAGGUUGGCUAAUCCUGGUCGGACAUCAGGAGGUUAGUGCAAUGGCAUAAGCCAGCUUGACUGCGAGCGUGACGGCGCGAGCAGGUGCGAAAGCAGGUCAUAGUGAUCCGGUGGUUCUGAAUGGAAGGGCCAUCGCUCAACGGAUAAAAGGUACUCCGGGGAUAACAGGCUGAUACCGCCCAAGAGUUCAUAUCGACGGCGGUGUUUGGCACCUCGAUGUCGGCUCAUCACAUCCUGGGGCUGAAGUAGGUCCCAAGGGUAUGGCUGUUCGCCAUUUAAAGUGGUACGCGAGCUGGGUUUAGAACGUCGUGAGACAGUUCGGUCCCUAUCUGCCGUGGGCGCUGGAGAACUGAGGGGGGCUGCUCCUAGUACGAGAGGACCGGAGUGGACGCAUCACUGGUGUUCGGGUUGUCAUGCCAAUGGCACUGCCCGGUAGCUAAAUGCGGAAGAGAUAAGUGCUGAAAGCAUCUAAGCACGAAACUUGCCCCGA